GAUGAACGCUGGCGGCGUGCCUAAUACAUGCAAGUCGAGCGAACAGACGAGGAGCUUGCUCCUCUGACGUUAGCGGCGGACGGGUGAGUAACACGUGGAUAACCUACCUAUAAGACUGGGAUAACUUCGGGAAGCCGGAGCUAAUACCGGAUAAUAUAUUGAACCGCAUGGUUCAAUAGUGAAAGACGGUUUUGCUGUCACUUAUAGAUGGAUCCGCGCCGCAUUAGCUAGUUGGUAAGGUAACGGCUUACCAAGGCGACGAUGCGUAGCCGACCUGAGAGGGUGAUCGGCCACACUGGAACUGAGACACGGUCCAGACUCCUACGGGAGGCAGCAGUAGGGAAUCUUCCGCAAUGGGCGGAAGCCUGACGGAGCAACGGCGCGUGAGUGAUGAAGGUCUUCGGAUCGUAAAACUCUGUUAUUAGGGAAGAACAAAUGUGUAAGUAACUAUGCACGUCUUGACGGUACCUAAUCAGAAAGCCACGGCUAACUACGUG
This 497-nucleotide ribosomal RNA is filed under the name uncultured bacterium. Its description in RNAcentral is "partial 16S ribosomal RNA". It matches the Rfam family "Bacterial small subunit ribosomal RNA", at positions 28 to 507 of the family's 1533-position model. The record is from RNAcentral.